UACGAAGGGGGCUAGCGUUGUUCGGAAUUACUGGGCGUAAAGCGCACGUAGGCGGAUCGUUAAGUCGGGGGUGAAAUCCUGGAGCUCAACUCCAGAACUGCCUUCGAUACUGGCGAUCUUGGGUCCGGAAGAGGUGAGUGGAACUCCUAGUGUAGAGGUGGAAUUCGUAGAUAUUAGGAAGAACACCAGUGGCGAAGGCGGCUCACUGGUCCGGUACUGACGCUGAGGUGCGAAAGCGUGGGGAGCAAACAGG
This 253-nucleotide ribosomal RNA is filed under the name uncultured bacterium. Its description in RNAcentral is "partial 16S ribosomal RNA". It matches the Rfam family "Bacterial small subunit ribosomal RNA", at positions 524 to 776 of the family's 1533-position model. The record is from RNAcentral.